AUACGGAGGGUGCGAGCGUUAAUCGGAAUUACUGGGCGUAAAGCGCGCGGAGGCGGUUUGGUCAGUCGGAUGUGAAAGCCCUAGGCUCAACCUGGGAAUGGCAUUCGAUACUGCCUGACUAGAGUAUGGUAGAGGGAAGUGGAAUUUCCGGUGUAGCGGUGAAAUGCGUAGAUAUCGGAAGGAACACCAGUGGCGAAGGCGACUUCCUGGGCCAAUACUGACGCUGAGGUGCGAAAGCGUGGGGAGCAAACAGGAUUAGAAACCCCGGUAGUCC
RNAcentral lists this ribosomal RNA (274 nucleotides) under uncultured bacterium. RNAcentral's name for it is "partial 16S ribosomal RNA". It matches the Rfam family "Bacterial small subunit ribosomal RNA", at positions 523 to 796 of the family's 1533-position model. The record is from RNAcentral.